AACGCACGCUAGUAAAGUGGUGAGUUUGCUCUAAUGCUUUGCAUUUGCAACCUGAGCUCACACAUGAUUACCCGCUGAACUUAAGCAUAU
Molecule: ribosomal RNA, 90 nt
Filed under: Heterorhabditis sp. EPNKU8
Lineage: Eukaryota; Metazoa; Nematoda; Chromadorea; Rhabditida; Heterorhabditidae
Description: partial 28S ribosomal RNA
Source: RNAcentral